RNAcentral lists this ribosomal RNA (253 nucleotides) under uncultured bacterium. RNAcentral's name for it is "partial 16S ribosomal RNA". It matches the Rfam family "Bacterial small subunit ribosomal RNA", at positions 524 to 776 of the family's 1533-position model. The record is from RNAcentral.
UACGUAGGUGGCAAGCGUUGUCCGGAUUUAUUGGGUUUAAAGGGUGCGUAGGCGGCCUUGUAAGUCAGUGGUGAAAUACUCCAGCUUAACUGGAGGGGUGCCAAUGAUACUGCAGGGCUUGAGUACAAAUGAGGUAGGCGGAAUUGACGGUGUAGCGGUGAAAUGCAUAGAUAUCGUCAAGAACACCGAUAGCGAAGGCAGCUUACUGGGCUGUAACUGACGCUGAGGCACGAAAGUGUGGGGAUCAAACAGG